UUCAGAGGAACCUGUCCUAUAAUUGAUGAUCCACGAUUUAAGUUACUUAUUUUAUUAAUUUGCAUAUCGCCGUAGGUUGAAUAUUUUACAAGAAUAAUAAUGUUCAAGAUUUUUUAAAAGAAAAUAAAUCAGGUCAAGAUGUAGUUUAUAGAUAAGAAGAGAUGGGUUACAAUAAAAUUAUUUAAGCGGAUUAAUUUUUUAAAAAUUUUAUGAAGUCGGAUUUGAUAGUAAUUUUAAUUAAUUUAUUAAGAUGAUUUUAGCUCUAAAAUAUGUACAUAUCGCCCGUCACUUUCACUACAAAGUGGAAUAAGUCGUAACAUAGUAGAUGUACUGGAAAGUGUAUCUAGAACGUCAAAUUAGAGCUUGUUAUAAAGCAUUUUAUUUACAUUAAAAAGUUUAUUGUGAAAUUCAAUAUAAUUUGAGCUAUUUAUAUUAUUAGUAAUUUUAUUUCAUAUUUUAUUUUACAAAAAUAAUUUAUUGUUUUAUUAUUGAAAAAGAACAAAUUUAUUUUAUAAUAGGGAAUUAGUACUGUGAAGGAAAUAUUCUUAGUUUUUAAAAAAAUAAUUAAAUUUUAGUACCUUGUGCAUCAGGGCUUAUUAAAUAAAUAUUAUUUACUUAAUUUUCUCGAAUUUAAAAGAGCUAUAAAAUUAUAAUUUUUAUUGUGUAAUAAAUAUUAUGAAUAAUUUUAUUGUAAUGAAACGUUAUUCGUUUUUAAAUAUAUCUAGUUUUUUAAGAAAAAAAUUUAAUUUUAUCAGUAAGAAUAUUUAUUUAAUUUAUUAAGUAAAUAUUAUUAUUGUUAAAUAUUUUUAGGGAUGAGCUUAAAAAUAAAAUUUUAUAAAUAAAUUAUUACUAUUAGAUAAAUAGGAUUAUAAAUUUUCAUUUUUAAUAGUAUGUUACAAUUAACUUAAUAAUAAAUAUUAAUUUAAAUUUAUUUUAAAUUUUUUAUUAAAAUAAUUAUUUUAAUAAUAAAAAUAAGGUAAUAAUGAUGAGAUUAGUAUAAUUUUUUGUAUUUUUAUAGGGAUUUUAGGUUAAGUAAAGGAACUCGGCAAAUAAUUUUUCACCUGUUUAUCAAACCGGUGUAAGCCAGGUUGGUUUCUAUCUCGAAAUAGUUAAAAUAUUUUAGUACGAAAGGACCUAGAUAUUUGGUUAAUAAUUUAAUUGAUGAAUAAUAUUAGUUAUUUUGGCAGAAUAGUGCAAUAGAUUUAGAAUCUUUAUAUGUAAUUUUUUUUACAAAUAAUACUUGAUAUUUAAGGAUUUAUUUAUAAUAUUAAUUUCUAUAUUAAUUUUAUCUUUUAGAGUAAUGGUUGGUGUGGCUUUUUUAACCUUAUUAGAACGAAAGGUAUUAGGAUAUAUUCAAAUUC
This 1361-nucleotide ribosomal RNA is filed under the name Perapion marchicum. RNAcentral's name for it is "partial 16S ribosomal RNA". The record is from RNAcentral. Lineage: Eukaryota; Metazoa; Arthropoda; Insecta; Coleoptera; Brentidae.